AAGCUUGCUUCUCUUGAGAGCGGCGGACGGGUGAGUAAUGCCUAGGAAUCUGCCUGGUAGUGGGGGAUAACGUUCGGAAACGGACGCUAAUACCGCAUACGUCCUACGGGAGAAAGCAGGGGACCUUCGGGCCUUGCGCUAUCAGAUGAGCCUAGGUCGGAUUAGCUAGUUGGUGAGGUAAUGGCUCACCAAGGCGACGAUCCGUAACUGGUCUGAGAGGAUGAUCAGUCACACUGGAACUGAGACACGGUCCAGACUCCUACGGGAGGCAGCAGUGGGGAAUAUUGGACAAUGGGUGAAAGCCUGAUCCAGCCAUGCCGCGUGUGUGAAGAAGGUCUUCGGAUUGUAAAGCACUUUAAGUUGGGAGGAAGGGCAGUAAAUUAAUACUUUGCUGUUUUGACGUUACCGACAGAAUAAGCACCGGCUAACUCUGUGCCAGCAGCCGCGGUAAUACAGAGGGUGCAAGCGUUAAUCGGAAUUACUGGGCGUAAAGCGCGCGUAGGUGGUUUGUUAAGUUGGAUGUGAAAUCCCCGGGCUCAACCUGGGAACUGCAUUCAAAACUGACUGACUAGAGUAUGGUAGAGGGUGGUGGAAUUUCCUGUGUAGCGGUGAAAUGCGUAGAUAUAGGAAGGAACACCAGUGGCGAAGGCGACCACCUGGACUAAUACUGACACUGAGGUGCGAAAGCGUGGGGAGCAAACAGGAUUAGAUACCCUGGUAGUCCACGCCG
Molecule: ribosomal RNA, 730 nt
Filed under: uncultured bacterium
Lineage: Bacteria
Description: bacterial SSU rRNA
Rfam family: Bacterial small subunit ribosomal RNA
Source: RNAcentral